GGGGCCUUAGCUCAGCUGGGAGAGCGGUUCGCUGGCAGCGAACAGGUCAGCGGUUCGAUCCCGCUAGGCUCCACCA
RNAcentral lists this transfer RNA (76 nucleotides) under Marinomonas primoryensis. Its description in RNAcentral is "tRNA-Ala". It matches the Rfam family "tRNA". Rfam says of the family: Transfer RNA (tRNA) molecules are approximately 80 nucleotides in length. The record is from RNAcentral. Lineage: Bacteria; Pseudomonadati; Pseudomonadota; Gammaproteobacteria; Oceanospirillales; Oceanospirillaceae. RNAcentral also lists the same sequence under 58 other names.